Molecule: ribosomal RNA, 433 nt
Filed under: uncultured bacterium
Lineage: Bacteria
Description: partial 16S ribosomal RNA
Rfam family: Bacterial small subunit ribosomal RNA
Source: RNAcentral
AACGAACGCUGGCGGCAUGCCUAACACAUGCAAGUCGAACGAGACCUUCGGGUCUAGUGGCGCACGGGUGCGUAACGCGGGGGAACCUGCCCUUAGGUUCGGAAUAACUCCCCGAAAGGGGGGCUAAUACCGGAUAAUGUCUUCGGACCAAAGAUUUAUCGCCUUUGGAUGGGCCCGCGUUGGAUUAGCUAGUUGGUAGGGUAAAAGCCUACCAAGGCGACGAUCCAUAGCUGGUCUGAGAGGAUGAUCAGCCACACUGGGACUGAGACACGGCCCAGACUCCUACGGGAGGCAGCAGUGGGGAAUCUUGGCCAAUGGGCGAAAGCCUGAUCCAGCAAUGCCGCGUGAGUGAUGAAGGCCUUAGGGUUGUAAAGCUCUUUUACCCGGGAUGAUAAUGACAGUACCGGGAGAAUAAGCUCCGGCUAACUCCGUG